This is a non-coding RNA of Nicotiana tabacum (common tobacco), 814 nucleotides long. NCBI's taxonomy places the organism in Eukaryota, Viridiplantae, Streptophyta, Magnoliopsida, Solanales, Solanaceae. The record is from RefSeq and is a predicted model, not a curated record.
UCAGAAAUCAAGCUACAAAAAAGAACCAGAAGUCCAAGUAUGCAAAAUGUUACACCAAAAAAAAGUCACCCUCAAAAUGUUACACCAAAAGAAGUCCAAGUAUGCAAAAUAUAUUAUAAAGGAGGGCAAGGAUCUUGAGACUUAUUUAGACAAGUACUGGGCUCCUCACCCUCAAACUAGUGUAUUUGUCCACCAACCCAUCACACUGGUUUCAAAAUCAUGCUUGCCACUGCUACUUUACAUUCUAUAUUGGAGAAUAGGUACUUAGCUUUUUUACUUAGAAAUAUGAAAGAGGGUAUAAUGUGCACCAGCAGAAACUGAAGGAAAUGUGCACCACAUUACUAGCAUCAUGAUUUCAUACACCAGGGUAGCAAUAAUAUCUACAAAAUUACGCACCACAACACCAAAAUUUCAGUAGCACAAAAUGAAACAUUAGUAGAUCAAUUGCAGUAGGUUGCCAUGUGUCUAUUAAGUACAUAUUCAAGAUCAAAAAGCGAGAAAUUAUUGUACGCGAUGCCAGUGGGUUUCGUCACUUCAAAGAUGGUUGUUGUUCUUGUGGAGAUUUGGUGACAAUCUGACUGUAGGGGUUACAUGGCUCCAGAAUAUGCAAUGCGCGACUACUUAACUAGUAAAGCAGAUAUCUACAGCUAUGGAGAAGUUGCAUUGGGGAUUGUUCGUGGGAAAAACGUACAAAUUAUAGGCCAGCGGAAGAUUGUGUUUAUCUUCUUGACUGGGCUUAUGUUAUGCAAGAGUGCGGGAGUAUAUUGGGAUUGGUUGAUCCAGACUUAGGUUCCAACUACUCAACACAAGAAGC